Molecule: long non-coding RNA, 359 nt
Filed under: Mytilus galloprovincialis (Mediterranean mussel)
Lineage: Eukaryota; Metazoa; Mollusca; Bivalvia; Mytilida; Mytilidae
Source: RNAcentral
ACCGGGUAUGAUUCAUUAUUUUGUUAUAAAUGAUUUGUUAUGCUCUAAAUUUUGUAGAACUUAAAUAUAUGUUAUAACAAGAAAAAGAAAUUAUGUUGAAAUUUUUAUUUUUAUCUUUUGUAUAUUAAUUAUUAUUCACUGUCAUGACUGUCAUGACUAAAUAAAAAUUAGAUCCCACGCAUGCGCGGCAUAGUUACUGUAAAUAAGUGCCGGACACGUUAUCAUCAGUAUGUUGAUGGAUUAUAAAAGAAGAAGAAGAAUCUUAUAAAUACUAUUUGCUUUGUCACCAUGUCACGUUGGUAGUAAUAUUCAACAAAUUCUAUUUUAAAAUAAAAAAAGUAUUAUAAAUUGAUCACAAC